Molecule: long non-coding RNA, 330 nt
Organism: Hyla sarda
Lineage: Eukaryota; Metazoa; Chordata; Amphibia; Anura; Hylidae
Exons: 3
Source: RefSeq, a predicted model, not a curated record
UAGCCCACACACUGAAAUGGUACCGCUGCCGAAAAUGCACAACAGUGGGGUGCUAUCAUCCAUAAGAAGCAACAGACUGUAUCACAAUCUUGAGUAGCAAUCUUAAAGAGAUUAUAUCCACAUUUUUCUCAUAUGCCCAGACCAGAUACAGAACAACCAGUUGUACUAUAUAAAGCCACACCAAAGAGAAAGAUAAAGAAGAAUGUACUUGGAGAUAUGAAACUCACUGACUGUGACCUACUUUCUAUUUAAUUAUGUCUUGCAACUUUUUACAUCAGAAGAAUGCACAGUGCAUUAGUAAUAAUAAGGUCAAGAUUUCCCAUAUUUGAU